This 497-nucleotide ribosomal RNA is filed under the name uncultured bacterium. RNAcentral describes it as "partial 16S ribosomal RNA". It matches the Rfam family "Bacterial small subunit ribosomal RNA", at positions 28 to 507 of the family's 1533-position model. The record is from RNAcentral.
GACGAACGCUGGCGGCGUGCCUAAUACAUGCAAGUCGAGCGAACAGACGCGGAGCUUGCUCCUCUGACGUUAGCCGAGGACGGGUGAGUAACACGUGGAUACCGCACUUAACAGUCUGGGAUCACCAGGGGAAACGGGCGAUUAUACGAGAGAAUAUACUGCAGCGCAGGGUUCAAUGGAGAAAUACGGCUUUGCUGUCUCUUAUAGCUGGUUCCCAGCCGGAUUAGCUAGUUGGUAAGGUAACGGCUUACCAAGGCAACGAUGCGUAGCCGACGGGAGAGGGUGAUCGGCCACAUGGGAACGUAGACACGGUCCAGACGCCUACGGGAGGCAGCAGUAGGGAAUCUUCCGCAAUGGGCGAAAGCAUGACGGAGCAACGCCGCGUGAGUGAUGAAGGUCUUCGGAUCGUAAAACUCGGUUAUUAGGUAAGAACAAAUGUGUAAGUAACUAUGCACGGCGUGACGGUACCGAAUCAGAAAGCCCCGGCUAACUACGUG